CUGAGCUUUAGACAGAGUUUUACACAAACGUUUGGCUGGUGGUGACACAUUAGUGAGCAAAUAUUAGCCAGAAGCUACAGCAAUGGAUUAGAACUGCAAGGCUGAACUAGAAUGAGAAAUGCAAAUCUGUGUUCAGGCAAAGUUAUUGCUCAGCUGCAGCAGCACCGAGCUGGAAUUAAUAGAGACUUUUCAUGUUAUUGUGUAAGACUUGUGACAUUUCUCCCCAGGGCUUUUGGCAUCUUUGCAGAAGAUCCAGUGUGUAACUGAUUUCUCUGUCCCAAGGAAGCUCUGAGGUUUUGGGUGAUACACAGUAGAGAAGCAUGGCUGGUCAGUUCUGGCACUGCCACGCUCAGUGGGCUGUGUGACAGCUGGUUCCAGGAUAGCUCUGGGCAAGGCACUUGGAGGAGACUGGGAAAUCAUUGAUGCUCUUCUAAGGUGGCUGGGAAUUUCCAGAGGAGGCUGGUGAGAGAGGGAAAGGUCUCAGGGUGUGGCAGGAGCAGCCCAAGCGGCAGCCAGGUCUUGGGAAGAGUCUGUGCUGACCUUUGUGGGGCAUCACUGGAAAUUCUGUGUUCCUGUGACACCCGGAGGGGUUUGGCAUCCACCCUGGGUCUGUGUGGGAAGAGUUGUUUGGGAGUGAUGUGUCCUCUCCAAAUAAUCCAGCGGGGUUGCGUGGAAGCACACGGAGUGGCAGGAGCCAGGCGUGGGUGCUGCUCCUUCCCAUGCAGCCAGGUGGGUCAGAAGGCACAGCACGCUGUGCUGCUUCAGGGCUUCUGAGGAGACUGCUCUGUGUUUGUCACUGGACCUGUCUUUGUGGGGACAAGUGACUCAGGAUUUCCCAGUGGAACAACUUCAGCUGCUUUUUCAUCUUUUGGAACUUCAGCAGCAAAGUCAGAGGGAAGCAGUAGGCCAGGGAGAGGUGGUUCAUGCUUUGGGGCAGGAGCAGGGAGCAGCCGAGCUAGAGUGAGUUAUAAACCAGAGCAGUUCCUGGGAGUAUCCAGUGGUGGCUGCAGCAGUGCAGGAAAGCACUUCAAGCCUCCUUCGAGCUUGAAAGCCUGAGCUUCCUGUUCAUGUGGCAGUCACCCCAGUCAGCCUCCUCCCUUUGCAGCACGCUGGGCUCAUCCUGCAGAGCCACUGCUGUUCCCAGAGCUCACCUGGCUGAGAGCAGCACGCUCUGCACCAGCUAAGGCUGCACAAACCUGCAGGCAUAGGGGGGAUUCAAUGCUGCUGACCAGGCUGGCUGAAGUCAAACCUGCCCAUUGCUUAUUGACACGUGCCUGCAGCAGGCAGUUGGUAUGUGAGAGUGUAAAUGAGUAACUUGGAGAAACCACAGUCAUGAGCAGGAUUGUCCUUCCUAAAUCACUGAUUUGUGUAUUUUUCAGUGAAAAGUUCCUGAUUUGCCUCUAUCUUUUUGUUCAGAGCAGUCGGGAAUUAAUACUAAAUAUCCACUUAAAAACUACAAAUUGUGUCACACAUGAAGUGGAAAAAUCCAUUGGUGUUGAGACUUUGCCCUUUUGAUGUCCCUAAUCUGAGGACCUCAGAAGUUUGUCCGUUACGAAUUCCCAACGGACGACCACCCUCGGCUGUUAGUGUUGGGCAAUUCCAGCAUUUACAGUGCCUGGUGGUAAAACAUUCAGGGAUUUGUCGAGGUCACAAUCAGAGCUUGUGUCAGACACCAAUGGGGACCAGAACUGCUGAAACCUCUUGUGGUUUCAUUCUCCCGUGUCCUCAGCCCAAGGAGGAGGAGGAGGGCUGGAUGAGCAGCUCUUCAGCAUUUGCACUGUGUCUUGCUGCACAGCCAGCUCUCCUGGGCAGACCUUGCUCUCCCAGUACCUAACUGGGGGUGGAAGCAGCAGAACAGAUAUUUCCAGUUUGUCUGAAGGACAGUAUGCUAUGAGAAAAAAAAACCUUAAACUAUUUAAUAGUUCAGGGGGAUUUUCUUGAGCAUAUAGUUACUCCUGGCUAUUUAUAGUACUGUUAUUUAAAUAUCCCAAAAGAUCCCGUCGUCAGAGGUUUUUUUAUGAUUCCUUUGAAGAACAAACCCAUACUUAUUUGAACAAGUCACAUCAUGAGAGUUGUUUUUGUACCCUUUCCACCCACACAAUCCUGGGAGUGAUUUUCCUUUGAGAGCUUGUUAACCAGAGGAGCAGCCAACUGAAGAGCCCCUGUUGCAAGGCACAAAGGAUUCACACCUGAAAAUCCCAACUCGGGUAGUGGGACAGGCACUUCCCUGCUCUGAGAGGGACCCAGCACUGCACAGCUGCAGGAGGUUGGCUUUGGCACUUCUGUGACACAGGUGGCUCAUCCAUUUGAGCCGUCUGAGUUCAGGUGUUCUGUCCCCUGUCCUUCGAGGGGCCUAAGGGGAGGACAGACGUGUAGAACACAUUUGGUAAUGGCAUAAGUGACCAAGUGCUAUGAGAGGACCUAAGGGAACAGGUAUCUCACCUGGGACAGUGCUGGGGCACCUUCACCAACAGCUCUGAGCUGUCCUGGGCUCGGCCAUGAACAAUUUUCUUUUCCUCCUUGUGCAGUUUUUAGCUCCAGAACAGAAUUCAUUCCCCAAGUUCAAAGAGAGGACAUCAGCGUCCACCACCUUCACCCUGCAGCCCCCAGAAUGACCUUCGCACAACUGGGAGCAGCUCCCACGGCCUGUGGCUGGGACCAGCGGGCUCUCCAGGCUCACACCCUGGGUUUGACAGCACGACCAGGACUGGGGUCACAGAAAG
Long non-coding RNA from Vidua chalybeata, 2723 nucleotides. RefSeq lists it as uncharacterized. The record is from RefSeq and is a predicted model, not a curated record. The transcript is spliced from 3 exons. Lineage: Eukaryota; Metazoa; Chordata; Aves; Passeriformes; Viduidae.